CCUGUGAGGUGGAUGGAUUAUCAAGAUGCUGAUUAGACAGCAUGAUUAUUGCAAAGGUGUGCGUUAGGCUGGCCAAUAUAAAAGGCCACCCUAAAAUGUGCAGUUUUAUUGUAUUGUAGAGGUCCGGGGGGGUCUGAAAACCAGGCAGUAUCUGGUGUGACCACCAUUUGCCUCACGCAGUGCAACAUAUCUCCUUCACAUAGAGUUGAUCAGGUUGUUGAUUGUGGCCUGUGGAAUGUUG
Molecule: non-coding RNA, 241 nt
Organism: Pelobates cultripes (western spadefoot toad)
Lineage: Eukaryota; Metazoa; Chordata; Amphibia; Anura; Pelobatidae
Source: the annotation of a GenBank genome assembly